This 1895-nucleotide long non-coding RNA is filed under the name Strigops habroptila (Kakapo). Its description in RNAcentral is "lncRNA (ENSSHBG00005007892.1)". The record is from RNAcentral. Lineage: Eukaryota; Metazoa; Chordata; Aves; Psittaciformes; Psittacidae.
AAGUUAAACCUGUCAGUGUCCAUGUUCACUGUUCUGUCCAAAAAGAACAUAAAUGUCUAGGAAUUUGCCACUAUUUUUUGUAUUAGAGGUGAAUAGUACAAAUUCUACUAGUGUUUCUUGUCUGGGGCUUGGGUGGGUAGGGGUGUAUUGUAAUUUUCAAGCUAUUGCAAAAGCUGCUUUUAAAUAAGCUGUUCAGUUGUAUUGACUGGUUUGUGCUUUCCAAGGGAAUCCAGGCGAGCCGGGGUUCGGGGGUAGCCUCCUUGCCUUGCUGUCACAGGGUAACUAGAGCUGAAGUCACUUGUGAAAACUUAGCUAAGGGAUGUGGUGAUUAGGCACCCGUCCCUGAUCUGUGAUGUAGUGUACUGUAAUCUAAUGAGGUUAGACACUCACCUACUGUAGAGCCGUGGUUUUGUCAGCAGCUACUUAGUCUGUCUGCCCCUGGUGUGAUAACCUUGGUUGAGAAUGUACUUCUGCAGAUUUAAGAUGAUGUCAAACCCCUGUGUUAUCUGGUCUCUGUAUAUAAAUAUUAUUGUCUAAUCCCAAAAGGAAAUGUGUAGCACAAAAUGAAGUUAAGGGUGUUCUGCACCAAGCCUGGUUAAAGUUUUUGCUGACACAGCAGGAGGGGGAAGACAUGGAUCUAACAGUGAUGUCUGCUACAGGCAACCAGAACGUUUCCUACCACAUCCACACUUAGAACUGACUGAAGCUUUGGUUUUGCAGUUUAAAAAAAAUAUAAGACCUGGUAUUUCCCAUACUGAAAUUUGGAAUAUGAACCUUACAGUGAUGGUAUCUUUUCAAGCAAUUCCUUCAGUUUUCCCCUAUUUGUGCACUGAAGUUGGAGGGAGGAAUAUUUUUACAUGAAGCUGUAGACUUUUGCAUUCUUUCCACUUUCAAUCUAAAGCCCAGAUCCCAUUAUUGAACCUCACACAGUUCCCCAAUCCAUCAGUAUCACACACACACAGACAGAUAUGCCUUACUGGGGAUGUGGCAUAUACAUACUUCUGGUAUAUAGUUGGGAACAGCCAACUGACAUCGUAGAAUGGUGACUCGGGAGAUGUAGCUGCCUCCUCUUGACUAAAUUCAUACCCACUAUGACUCUGCUGAUCUCAGUUCAUACAUGGUACAAGAACAUCAAGUGUACACCUCUUGUUGAUUUGGAAGUAAGAUGUGAUGCUGGUCAGUUGGUGGGAUUUCAAACAGUGGUAUGCAUGACUAGAGCUAACUAACUGCAACAUUGCUAUUGCAACCUUCAACACUUCUGAUCAGCCUUUAGGUGAAGGGGGAACUUCAACCUAAGCAACUACAAAAUUAAUACUAAUUUCUUUUAAACAAGGGAAAACCCACAAGUAUUCCUCUAGAGACCAACCUUCUCUUCUGCUCCUUUAUUUUAGCAGUGAAUGGGUUCUGACAAUGCUGGUUUGGGCUCAGCUGACUGAGCGUUCUUCCCUCCCCCCGCUUUCAGUGUGUUUAGAACUGAAAAAAGAGCAGAGGUUUGAAUGCUUUCUUGAGUAUGAAGCUGAAGGAGUAGGGAAGAGAGACAGAAGAACAUGAAAUAAAAAGCAUGGCCUUGGCUUCAUACCACACUUUCUGUGCCUUGUUCUAUCAAUGUAAAUUCUGAAUGUUGUACAGUAAAAUACUUGGGAAAGACUCCUUGGAAAAGGCUGCACUGGCUUCUUUUUUCAGCACAUGUACAUAUAUAAAUAUAUAUACAUAUAUAUAUUUGGUAAUGCCAAACAGCUGUGUUAUAUUGUACUGAAAAAGUAAUAAUGGACAGUUUGGAUGUUUUCUGUAGAGUUUGCAAAUCCUGUAUGGCUAUGGCCUUUUGGAGAUAAAUGUACAGACGUAAAUUACUGCAUAUCAGUUAUUUAUGAAUAAAGAGUCUUUUACUGACAUCU